UAUAUAUUAGUGAAAUCUCUCUGUUUUGUCAAAUUUUCUAUCCUUAGUUUUCUUUAAUGUUUUAGUUUAAAAGUUGCUAGUGAAUUAACGUUAUUUACACGUUAUAAUAUGUAUUUUAAGAAAAAAGAUCAUCCAAUCGAAGCUUAUGCUAUGUUUUAUUGUUAUAGAUCCAUGGUCAUUAAGUCGAACUAUGCAAAUUAUUAUUCAAGAUGAUACCUAUAGAGACAUGAUUAAUUGGGAUUCAUUACCAAAAUCAUUUUUACCCCCCAAUUUUAAACUCGAGGACAGUGGCCUUUCAGAAUCAAAAGCUUUUAUCCUAAUGGUUGAACCAGAUGACUGCAUAGCUGCAGUUAAAGCGUAUAUUCAAGAAGAAAAGGAGAUUCCAUUUAAGAAACAGAAGCUAUUGAAUAAAGAUGGGGGAGUUUUAAGAGAUUCACAGACUCUUCUUUCUGCGGAAAUCAAGCAAGGUUCUACCUUAAUCCUUCGAUAUGCACCAAUAACACAAAUCUCUGUGAAAAUGCUAACUGGAC
Molecule: long non-coding RNA, 530 nt
Filed under: Nicotiana tabacum (common tobacco)
Lineage: Eukaryota; Viridiplantae; Streptophyta; Magnoliopsida; Solanales; Solanaceae
Description: long non-coding RNA (NTAB_LNC009362)
Source: RNAcentral